RNAcentral lists this ribosomal RNA (433 nucleotides) under uncultured bacterium. RNAcentral's name for it is "partial 16S ribosomal RNA". It matches the Rfam family "Bacterial small subunit ribosomal RNA", at positions 29 to 507 of the family's 1533-position model. The record is from RNAcentral.
AACGAACGCUGGCGGCAUGCCUAACACAUGCAAGUCGAACGAAGCCUUCGGGCUUAGUGGCGCACGGGUGCGUAACGCGUGGGAAUCUGCCCCUUGCUUCGGAAUAACAGUUAGAAAUGACUGCUAAUACCGGAUGAAGUCUUCGGACCAAAGAUUUAUCGGCAAGGGAUGAGCCCGCGUAGGAUUAGGUAGUUGGUGGGGUAAAGGCCUACCAAGCCGACGAUCCUUAGCUGGUCUGAGAGGAUGAUCAGCCACACUGGGACUGAGACACGGCCCAGACUCCUACGGGAGGCAGCAGUGGGGAAUAUUGGACAUUGGACGCAAGUCUGAUCCAGCAAUGCCGCGUGAGUGAUGAAGGCCUUAGGGUUGUAAAGCUCUUUUACCAGGGAUGAUAAUGACAGUACCUGGAGAAUAAGCUCCGGCUAACUCCGUG